RNAcentral lists this ribosomal RNA (497 nucleotides) under uncultured bacterium. RNAcentral's name for it is "partial 16S ribosomal RNA". It matches the Rfam family "Bacterial small subunit ribosomal RNA", at positions 28 to 507 of the family's 1533-position model. The record is from RNAcentral.
GAUGAACGCUGGCGGCGUGCCUAAUACAUGCAAGUCGAGCGAACAGACGAGGAGCUUGCUCCUCUGACGUUAGCGGCGGACGGGCGAGUAACACGUGGAUAACCUACCUAUAAGACUGGGAUAACUUCGGGAAACCGGAGCCAAUACCGGAUAAUAUAUUGAACCGCAUGGUUCAAUGGUGAAAGACGGCUUUGGCGUUACUUAUAGAUGGAUCCGCGCCGCAUUAGCUAGUUGGUAAGGUAACGGCAUACCAAGGCAACGUUCCGUAGCCGACCUGAGAGGAUGAUCAGCCACACUGGAACUGAGACACGGUCCAGACUCCUACGGGAGGCAGCAGUCGGGAAUCUUGCGCAAUGGGCGAAAGCCUGACCGAGCAACGCCGCGUGAGUGAUGAAGGUCUUCGGAUCGUAAAACUCUGUUAUUCGGGAAGAACAAAAGUGUAAGUAACUAUGCCCGUCCUGACGGUACCUAAUCAGUAAGCACCGGCUAACUACGUG